AACGAACGCUGGCGGCAUGCCUAACACAUGCAAGUCGAACGAGACCUUCGGGUCUAGUGGCGCACGGGUGCGUAACGCGUGGGAACCUGCCUUUAGGUUCGGAAUAACUCAGAGAAAUUUGAGCUAAUACCGGAUAAUGUCUUCGGACCAAAGAUUUAUCGCCUUUAGAUGGGCCCGCGUUGGAUUAGCUAGUUGGUGGGUAAAGGCCUACCAAGGCGACGAUCCAUAGCUGGUCUGAGAGGAUGAUCAGCCACACUGGGACUGAGACACGGCCCAGACUCCUACGGGAGGCAGCAGUGGGGAAUAUUGGACAAUGGGCGAAAGCCUGAUCCAGCAAUGCCGCGUGAGUGAUGAAGGCCUUAGGGCUGUAAAGCUCUUUUACCCGAGAUGAUAAUGACAGUAUCGGGAGAAUAAGCUCCGGCUAACUCCGUGCCAGCAGCCGCGGUAAUGUGACUACUG
This 459-nucleotide ribosomal RNA is filed under the name uncultured bacterium. Its description in RNAcentral is "bacterial SSU rRNA". It matches the Rfam family "Bacterial small subunit ribosomal RNA", at positions 29 to 534 of the family's 1533-position model. The record is from RNAcentral.